Molecule: long non-coding RNA, 297 nt
Filed under: Nicotiana benthamiana
Lineage: Eukaryota; Viridiplantae; Streptophyta; Magnoliopsida; Solanales; Solanaceae
Description: long non-coding RNA (NBEN_LNC023568)
Source: RNAcentral
UUCAACAGAGGAAAACUAUUGAAGGUUGGUCUUCUUCUCCAAAGAGAGGAGAUGAGUUUCUAACCAAGAGUAAAAAAAUAGAAGGGACAACUGAUGAUUUUAUUGUCUCUCAAAUGAAGAGAUCAAGUUCCAAGAAAUAUGAAGGUGUGGCUGCCUUCUCUCUUUCGAGAAUGAGAAAAACAAAAAACAAAAAAACUCGGCCAUAGCAAGACUUGGGAAAAUGGCCAUUUUCUGCUCUUUCUUUCUGCAAAGCUACUGCACCCGUUUUUCUUAUUUCUUUAGGUUUUAGGUCUUUAU